Long non-coding RNA from Aplysia californica (California sea hare), 1028 nucleotides. RefSeq lists it as uncharacterized. NCBI's taxonomy places the organism in Eukaryota, Metazoa, Mollusca, Gastropoda, Aplysiida, Aplysiidae. The record is from RefSeq and is a predicted model, not a curated record. The transcript is spliced from 3 exons.
CAUGAGUGAUGUUUUAGGUGAAGCGCCCUCUCAUAAUAUAAUCAGCUGGGCUACUGCCCUAGAUGGAAGUCCAUAGCGAGUGUGUGCCUAUAGCUAGGACCUUAUAACCUCCUUGGCCCAUAUAUUUUAGUGUAUUACUGUUACGUAAAAUUGCUUUCAUUCUGACGAGCUGUCCUUCGAAACGGGAAGUGUUCUCAGUGGAUUUCGGAUUACCGCCCCUCGAACACACCCACGGCUACGGAGAUUGGGAGGCGACUGAAUCAACUCUUGAAAAGUCUUCAGAGGUUCUUGUUUUUCUCUCUUAUUUCUAGGGGGUACAGACCAAUCCUUGCCAUGACUGAAUCGAUGUCUGCAGGGGCUAUGAUAGCCAUAGUGAUGUCAGCGAUUCUAGUGGUCGUCGUACUUGGACUCCUCUACUGGGCGAUCCUACAUCGUAAACCUCUGUCUUGUGUGGCCUCGAAGAUGGAAGCAGGGAACGAGAAAGAGGCAGCUGCUUUUUGCGUCACCAACGUUUGACCUGGUCAUCCUGGAAUUUCCUCAAGAGAGAAGUCUUUAAUACUCCGAGUACACUGUAGACAGUUUCGUCAAAUUUUAUUCUUCAAGUUGUGUACUAUUCUGAGCGGCCAGGUUUUCCUUCAUGGUGAGGGGAGGGGGCGGGGGAGGGGGGGGGCGGGCAAAAGCUACACUUGGCACAAUUUUGUCAAAUCCGCAAAAAUCGAACAAUUAUUGCUGGGGGGUUUUCUGGCUCAUGAAUUGUUACGUUCGAUGAAAAUAACCGACAGGAAGGCUACUACGAUAGCGUGGUCUCCAUCCUUGAUAAUAAUAUGUAUCAAACUAUUUAUUUCAAUAUGGGAUUUGACUGAACUUUGUGUAUUGGGCACCGCUGACAACCACUGGGAUAGUGUUUCAGUCUUUUCCUCAGUCCACGGUUCUGGUUAACAGCAUGUUCAGAUUAAUAUGACAGUGGCAUGUCAAUUCUCUCUCUCUCUCUCUCUCUCUCUCUCUCUCUCUCUCUCUCUCUCUCUCUC